GGAAUCUUAGACAAUGGGCGCAAGCCUGAUCUAGCCAUGCCGCGUGAGCGAUGAAGGCCUUAGGGUUGUAAAGCUCUUUCACCGGGGAAGAUAAUGACGGUACCCGGAGAAGAAGCCCCGGCUAACUCCGUGCCAGCAGCCGCGGUAAUACGGAGGGGGCUAGCGUUGUUCGGAAUUACUGGGCGUAAAGCGCGCGUAGGCGGCUUUGCAAGUCGGGUGUGAAAUCCCCAGGCUUAACCUGGGAACUGCAUUCGAGACUGCAUUGCUAGAGUAUGGGAGAGGGAAGUGGAAUUUCCGGUGUAGCGGUGAAAUGCGUAGAUAUCGGAAGGAACAUCAGUGGCGAAAGCGACUUCCUGGACCAAUACUGACGCUCAUGUGCGAAAGCGUGGGGAGCAAAC
RNAcentral lists this ribosomal RNA (398 nucleotides) under uncultured bacterium. Its description in RNAcentral is "bacterial SSU rRNA". It matches the Rfam family "Bacterial small subunit ribosomal RNA", at positions 358 to 773 of the family's 1533-position model. The record is from RNAcentral.